This 814-nucleotide long non-coding RNA is filed under the name Mytilus galloprovincialis (Mediterranean mussel). Lineage: Eukaryota; Metazoa; Mollusca; Bivalvia; Mytilida; Mytilidae. The record is from RNAcentral.
AUUUAUUAUAUGACUAUAAAUUUUCUGUUUUCUCAUUGGCUAAAAGCAUAGGAAAUCCUCUUUGAUAAAACAUUAUAUUCACCGCGUCAAAAAUCACGAGAGGUUAAUAUAAGAUUUGGAACAGCGUCCGUGUACCUAAAUAUAGAAACGGGGAAUUCUUGUUAGCUAUUUAAGGGAUGUAUAAAUAAAAUGGUUUUUAAUUGGACGACCGAAUAAAUAUCAACCAAUCAGCGCUCUCGACAUAAAAUCGUUUCGAUCUAACAGACGACAGUUACAUGUUUCCGGCAACAAAGUAUGGCUGGAGCAGCAGAAGUAGCUACUGAAAAACGCUUUCCAUCGUUAAAUAAUGAGGAAAUUAAGAAGAUUUUGAUAGAAAAGGAUUCUAAAAAUACUCGCCGAUCAACAGAUUCUAGCGUACAUGUACAUGUAUCUAGUUUUUUAUUCUGUUGUAUUCAAUAUUGUUCAUGUUUUGUUCUUUAAAAAUUGAAAUGAUACAAUAUUCUUCUAGUUUUAAUUAUGCAGAAUUAAAUAUGCCUAAAAAUCAAACCCAAGCAUAAAAUAAAAACAGUCUAGGCAAAAUACCAUCUAACCAAGGAUAUAUUUCACAAUCUAAAAAUAUGAAAAUGACACUGAGAACUAAAGAGUCAUAUAAUAAAGCAAUUGUUGACUUUUGAUAUCAGUUGAUACAAUGAUUUAUCAACCCCAGAUGUGAUAUUCACCUCGGCCGUUGGCCUUGGUGAAUAUCACAUCUCUGGGGUUGAUAAAUCAUUGUAUCAACCUCAUCAAAAGUCAAUAAUUGUAUAAUAUUAUAUAU